CAACAACAACAACAACAAACCCAGUGUAUUCCCACUUAGUGGGGUCUGGGGGGGUAAGAUGUACGCAGUCCAUACCUCUACCUCUGAUGAAGUAGAAAGGCUAUUUCCGAAAGACCCCCGGCUCAAGUGACGAGAUAUCACACAAACACAUAGUACAGCACAGAAGCAGAUGACAUAACAUAGAUACGGCACCCAUAAGGAAUAUAAAACAGAGUAGAGCAGGAAUNN
This 228-nucleotide long non-coding RNA is filed under the name Capsicum annuum. RNAcentral describes it as "long non-coding RNA (CANN_LNC005200)". The record is from RNAcentral. Lineage: Eukaryota; Viridiplantae; Streptophyta; Magnoliopsida; Solanales; Solanaceae.